GCCAUUAGUCGGUGCAAUUUUUCGGUUUCCGCCAGUGGUCUUCGUUUUUCCUUUUAAUUAAUGAUCUUAGUUCGCGAAGAAAAUGUAAUUAUAUGCAAUUGUGUUCAACUUUCGAUCGUGUUCUUACGAUUUUGUGUUCGAUCGCUGAACAUGCGACAUAUUUUGUUGUGAUUUGGUGUUUGGUUUGGUGUUACGAGUACUUACAAUAAGGAACCGAAGUCAUCGCCAUCGUAAGUUCGUUCUGACUGUUUGCUGAAUUGCUGUGUAGUUAUUGUUCUGUUGAUGAAGACGUAUCCAUCGGUCAGCAACCGGAAUGAUUUGUUUGUGGAAAUCAUCGAUCGUCCGACUUCGAGCCAUCAUCGCUACCUGCUUCUCAUGUACCCUACCUACUUGAGACUUCCCGGAAGUGAAAAGCUAAUCGUUUUUUGAAAUUGUGUUGUGUGCCUCAUGUAGGAUCGUGCGUUUUUCCUCAUGAAGGUUGAGGUUCGAUGCCGUCUGUACGACCGUGCUUUUUUCAAAGGUUUUGUAAUUCGAUCUCAUUAUGAGGACCGUGUUCCUCAUGAAGGCUAAAGUUCGGUAGUGUUGUGCGCCGUAUGUAAUUCUGGAAUUUUCAUUUGUGUGUAAUACGCGUAUUCGAUGAUUUCGAUGCGUUGUCGUUUAUUCGUGAUUCAGUAAAUUUGGCUUUUCAAUAAAGCGGGAAGUCAUGCCAGAACUCGGAAGACCUCAGGAAUACGAACAUCCCCGAAGCAGGUCUUCUGGAAUAAUCCCAUCAAAAGGAAGAGCAAAAGAAGACUCGAGAAGAAACUCAUCGAUAUACCCGAGGCUUAUCCGCAGUAAAUUCCACGCCACAGCAGAUCAUGAUUAGAUGUACGACACUUCGACGAAUUUGUGGGUUUCAUUUUCUGUCGGUUGAUUCAAAAGGAAGCAAAUAAGAAUGACAGAAUUAAGCUGCAGUGAAUAGGUAAGAAAAAAUAAUAAUAUUUUAUUGAUAAGCAUAAAUGCUUAUAGUAUAAUAGGUACCAGAAUUGCACAUGCCUUUCUUAUUUCAUUCAUUAUUUCGUCAUUUUCAAAAAGAUACUCUUUUAAAUAAAUGAAUAAGUAAAUAAAUAAGUAAAUGAAAAAUAUUUAAAGAAGCUAUAUGGUAGGUAGGCGAAGAAUCGAGGAAUUUUAAAUGUAAUUUUAAUAUGCAUUCUUUGCAUCUGCUGGUGAAUUUUUUUUUACUGAUCAGGCAUGAUUUUACAACCAAAAAAGCUUUUUGAUUUUAAUUGAAAACUAGGUGGAACUGUAUAAUUCAGAUAAUUUUGUGAUAAAAAAGACAUUUUUUGUCAAAAUUGUUUUUUUAUUUUUUUGAAAAAAUUCUAGUAUCGACUGAUGUUUGUGAAUUUCUUAUCAUACGAGUACUUAUGCUGUACCUAGUUACUUUUCAGUUUUCAUUGUAAUGCAAAGUGCAAAAAUGCUUUCGUUUUUUACUUCAAAACUUUGAAAUUUAAUUAAAUUUUGUGACUUCUUCAGAAUGUUUUUCUCAUUAAUUGAAUUUGAAAAAAAAGAGGAAAAACUAUUAAUUUUUUGUAUAGAAAUAACA
Long non-coding RNA from Planococcus citri (citrus mealybug), 1582 nucleotides. RefSeq lists it as uncharacterized. The transcript is spliced from 3 exons. The record is from RefSeq and is a predicted model, not a curated record. NCBI's taxonomy places the organism in Eukaryota, Metazoa, Arthropoda, Insecta, Hemiptera, Pseudococcidae.